This 490-nucleotide ribosomal RNA is filed under the name uncultured bacterium. RNAcentral's name for it is "partial 16S ribosomal RNA". It matches the Rfam family "Bacterial small subunit ribosomal RNA", at positions 28 to 507 of the family's 1533-position model. The record is from RNAcentral.
AUUGAACGCUGGCGGCAGGCCUAACACAUGCAAGUCGAACGGUAACACGACACUGCUUGGUGCUUCGGUGGCGAGCGGGGGAGGGGCGAGUGAUGUACGGGCCACUGCCUGUUGGAGGGGGACAACAAAUGGGAACGGUUACUAAAACCGCGCAACGGCGCAAGGGCGGAGAGGGGGACGUUUGGGCCGCUUGCGAUGGGCUGUGGCCAGAUGGGAUUGGCUAGUGGGGGGGGGAACGGCGCACCUUGGCGAGGAUGCCUAGCUGGUCUGAGAGGAUGACCGGCCACACUGGAACUGAGCCACGGUCCAGACUCCUACGGGAGGCAGCAGUGGGGAAUAUUGGACAAUGGUCGCAAGCCUGAUGCAGCCAUGCCGCGUGUGUGAAGAAGGCCUUCGGGUUGUAAAGUCCUUUCUGCGGGGAUGAAGGGAGUAAGGUUAAUACCUAGCCUCAUUGACGGUACCCGCAGAAGAAGCACCGGCUAACUCCGUG